CGUAGUUACAGCUCUUUUUCUCUCGAACCGACCUUUGCAUAUCUUUCUCUCUCUUCCACAUACGCACAUCUGUUUAUCAUCAUGUUCAAGUGCGCGACUCGCUGCCUUCUGGACACCAAGACGGUGCCGCUGAAGCCGCAGCGCCCAUUCAAGCUACACACGGCUGGCCGCACCGACAUGGCACCACUUCCGACGCAGGCGGCGUACGACGCAGAGCAGCUGAAGAAGAGUCUUGCCCUGAUGUUCCGCAUCCGCCGCAUGGAGUCUCUGUGCGAUCAGUCCUACAAGCUAAAGAAGAUUCGCGGCUUCUGCCACCUCUACAUCGGGCAGGAGGCCAUUCCGGCUGGCAUGGAGAACGUUCUGACCUUCGAGGACCCCAUCGUCACUGGCUACCGCGAUCACGGCUGGUACAUCUCUCGCGGUGGCAAGCCCGAGGAUGUCUUCGCUGAAAUGUUCGGCCGUCAGGGCGGCUGCAGCAAGGGCAAGGGUGGCUCGAUGCACAUGUACAAGGUGGGUAACGGCUUCUACGGCGGUAAUGGCAUCGUGGGUGCGCAGGUCUCGAUCGGCGCUGGCCUUGCCUGGCGCUUCGCGAUGGAGAACCGCGACAGCCCGAAGCACGUUGCGGUCACCUUCUACGGCGACGGUGCUGCCAACCAGGGCCAGAUCUACGAGUCCAUGAACAUUGCCGCUCUGCAGCGCCUCCCCGUCAUCUUCGCAGUGGAGAACAACCACUUCGGUAUGGGCACUAGCGCCGCUCGCGGCUCCUAUCAGGCGGAGUUUUACCGCCGUGGUGACUACAUCCCUGGUAUCAAGGUCGAUGGCAUGGACGUGCUCGCGGUGCAGGAGGGCACCCGCUACGCACGCGACCACUGCAUGUCGGGCAAGGGCCCGAUUGUGAUGGAGCUGGACUGCUACCGCUACAUGGGUCAUAGCAUGUCGGACCCCGACAACCAGUACCGCACCAAGAGCGACAUCCAGCACGUGAAGCAGGAGCGUGACUGCAUUCGCAAGAUGCGCGAGUUCAUGGCGACCGAGGGCAUCAUGACCGAGGACGAGAUGAGCAAGAUGGAGAAAGACGUGAAGAAGGAGGUGGACCAGGACCUGCAGAAGGCCCAGAAACAACCUAUGACAAAGUUGGAUGAGCUCUUCACGGACAUCUACGUGGGUGAGCAGUACGAGCACCGCACCUGCCAGGGUACCGUGUACCACAAGCCCUAAUCAGGCAAGACGGAUAGUAAAGUGAGGCCGAGGAGGCAUGCCUCAAGAUGUGUGCGUGACGCCUUGCGUGCCACGCUCUCUCGCUCUGUGUGUGUGUCUGUGCCUUGGUCUGUACUUCCUCACGCCUUGCUGGUUCGCCUUUGUUGUCCUUGUUGGCGUGGCGAUGGCGCUGUGUGUACGUGCUUGUCUCUAUAUGUUUUUUUUUUUAAUACGCAUAGCCUCGAACACGCACACAUACGGAUGUGUGCUCCCCGCCUCACGUCGUGCAACCCUCACUCCUCCAUCAACGUCGUCGCGUCUUCUCUGUGCGGUGCCUACACGAAGCAACAACAGCGAAACAGAGGAAACAGACGAAGCGAACGACGGCAACUUUUUUUUUCCCGCAUCUAUGUGAGUGUUUGCGGACGCGUGCCCCUGAGACAGCGAGAAGAGCAAAUACGCCUUGUGAGCAGAGGGGUGGGUAGGAGUGGGGGGUGCGCACGUAUGUGCACAUACAGCCCCAAUCCGCGUAUGCCUAUCACGUGCGCGUCACGCCUUACCCGCACACACACACACACACACACACACAAGCGAACAAGAUUGUAACGAAUGUAUUUUUUCUUUUCGUUUCGUUCCCCUUUUUUCUCAAGCGCGCGUGGGUGUGUCCUCAAGCGCUCUCCGUCGAACACCCGCCCCUCCCGCGAAGGUGACCG
RNAcentral lists this unclassified non-coding RNA (1910 nucleotides) under Leishmania donovani. Its description in RNAcentral is "gene:LdHU3.18.1730(CDS-product:pyruvate_dehydroge nase_E1_component_alpha_subunit_putative)". The record is from RNAcentral. Lineage: Eukaryota; Euglenozoa; Kinetoplastea; Trypanosomatida; Trypanosomatidae.